RNAcentral lists this ribosomal RNA (1489 nucleotides) under Staphylococcus aureus. RNAcentral describes it as "partial 16S ribosomal RNA". It matches the Rfam family "Bacterial small subunit ribosomal RNA". Lineage: Bacteria; Bacillati; Bacillota; Bacilli; Caryophanales; Staphylococcaceae. The record is from RNAcentral.
CAGGAUGAACGCUGGCGGCGUGCCUAAUACAUGCAAGUCGAGCGAACGGACGAGAAGCUUGCUUCUCUGAUGUUAGCGGCGGACGGGUGAGUAACACGUGGAUAACCUACCUAUAAGACUGGGAUAACUUCGGGAAACCGGAGCUAAUACCGGAUAAUAUUUUGAACCGCAUGGUUCAAAAGUGAAAGACGGUCUUGCUGUCACUUAUAGAUGGAUCCGCGCUGCAUUAGCUAGUUGGUAAGGUAACGGCUUACCAAGGCAACGAUGCAUAGCCGACCUGAGAGGGUGAUCGGCCACACUGGAACUGAGACACGGUCCAGACUCCUACGGGAGGCAGCAGUAGGGAAUCUUCCGCAAUGGGCGAAAGCCUGACGGAGCAACGCCGCGUGAGUGAUGAAGGUCUUCGGAUCGUAAAACUCUGUUAUUAGGGAAGAACAUAUGUGUAAGUAACUGUGCACAUCUUGACGGUACCUAAUCAGAAAGCCACGGCUAACUACGUGCCAGCAGCCGCGGUAAUACGUAGGUGGCAAGCGUUAUCCGGAAUUAUUGGGCGUAAAGCGCGCGUAGGCGGUUUUUUAAGUCUGAUGUGAAAGCCCACGGCUCAACCGUGGAGGGUCAUUGGAAACUGGAAAACUUGAGUGCAGAAGAGGAAAGUGGAAUUCCAUGUGUAGCGGUGAAAUGCGCAGAGAUAUGGAGGAACACCAGUGGCGAAGGCGACUUUCUGGUCUGUAACUGACGCUGAUGUGCGAAAGCGUGGGGAUCAAACAGGAUUAGAUACCCUGGUAGUCCACGCCGUAAACGAUGAGUGCUAAGUGUUAGGGGGUUUCCGCCCCUUAGUGCUGCAGCUAACGCAUUAAGCACUCCGCCUGGGGAGUACGACCGCAAGGUUGAAACUCAAAGGAAUUGACGGGGACCCGCACAAGCGGUGGAGCAUGUGGUUUAAUUCGAAGCAACGCGAAGAACCUUACCAAAUCUUGACAUCCUUUGACAACUCUAGAGAUAGAGCUUUCCCCUUCGGGGGACAAAGUGACAGGUGGUGCAUGGUUGUCGUCAGCUCGUGUCGUGAGAUGUUGGGUUAAGUCCCGCAACGAGCGCAACCCUUAAGCUUAGUUGCCAUCAUUAAGUUGGGCACUCUAAGUUGACUGCCGGUGACAAACCGGAGGAAGGUGGGGAUGACGUCAAAUCAUCAUGCCCCUUAUGAUUUGGGCUACACACGUGCUACAAUGGACAAUACAAAGGGCAGCGAAACCGCGAGGUCAAGCAAAUCCCAUAAAGUUGUUCUCAGUUCGGAUUGUAGUCUGCAACUCGACUACAUGAAGCUGGAAUCGCUAGUAAUCGUAGAUCAGCAUGCUACGGUGAAUACGUUCCCGGGUCUUGUACACACCGCCCGUCACACCACGAGAGUUUGUAACACCCGAAGCCGGUGGAGUAACCUUUUAGGAGCUAGCCGUCGAAGGUGGGACAAAUGAUUGGGGUGAAGUCUAAAAGG